GACGAACGCUGGCGGCGUGCUUAACACAUGCAAGUCGAACGAAGAGCGAUGGAAGCUUGCUUCUAUCAAUCUUAGUGGCGAACGGGUGAGUAACGCGUAAUCAACCUGCCCUUCAGAGGGGGACAACAGUUGGAAACGACUGCUAAUACCGCAUACGAUCUAACCUCGGCAUCGAGGAUAGAUGAAAGGUGGCCUCUACAUGUAAGCUAUCACUGAAGGAGGGGAUUGCGUCUGAUUAGCUAGUUGGAGGGGUAACGGCCCACCAAGGCGAUGAUCAGUAGCCGGUCUGAGAGGAUGAACGGCCACAUUGGGACUGAGACACGGCCCAGACUCCUACGGGAGGCAGCAGUGGGGAAUCUUCCGCAAUGGACGAAAGUCUGACGGAGCAACGCCGCGUGAGUGAUGACGGCCUUCGGGUUGUAAA
RNAcentral lists this ribosomal RNA (424 nucleotides) under uncultured bacterium. RNAcentral describes it as "bacterial SSU rRNA". It matches the Rfam family "Bacterial small subunit ribosomal RNA", at positions 28 to 429 of the family's 1533-position model. The record is from RNAcentral.